GACGAAGGAUGCAAGCGUUAUCCGGAUUCAUUGGGUUUAAAGGGAGCGUAGGCGGAUUUGUAAGUCAGUGGUGAAAUCUCUGGGCUCAACCCAGAAACUGCCAUUGAUACUGCAGAUCUAGAGUACAGUUGCCGUUGGCGGAAUAUGACAUGUAGUGGUGAAAUACUUAGAUAUGUCAUAGAACACCGAUUGCGAAGGCAGCUAACGAAACUGUAACUGACGCUGAGGCUCGAAAGUGCGGGGAUCAAACAGG
Molecule: ribosomal RNA, 253 nt
Filed under: Chitinophagaceae bacterium
Lineage: Bacteria; Pseudomonadati; Bacteroidota; Chitinophagia; Chitinophagales; Chitinophagaceae
Also listed under: 1 other name
Description: partial 16S ribosomal RNA
Rfam family: Bacterial small subunit ribosomal RNA
Source: RNAcentral